CCUACGGGAGGCAGCAGUGAGGAAUAUUGGUCAAUGGGCGCAAGCCUGAACCAGCCAUGCCGCGUGCAGGAUGAAGCAUCUAUGGUGUGUAAACUGCUUUUGUACGGGAAGAAACACCGAUUCGUGAAUCGGCUUGACGGUACCGUAAGAAUAAGGACCGGCUAACUCCGUGCCAGCAGCCGCGGUAAUACGGAGGGUCCAAGCGUUAUCCGGAAUCAUUGGGUUUAAAGGGUCCGUAGGCGGCCAGGUAAGUCAGUGGUGAAAGCCCAUCGCUCAACGGUGGAACGGCCAUUGAUACUGCCAGGCUUGAAUUUCUGGGAAGUAACUAGAAUAUGUAGUGUAGCGGUGAAAUGCUUAGAUAUUACAUGGAAUACCAAUUGCGAAGGCAGGUUACUACCAGUGGAUUGACGCUGAUGGACGAAAGCGUGGGUAGCGAACAGGAUUAGAUACCCUGGUAGUCCACGCCGUAAACGAUGGAUACUAGCUGUUCGGGGCAACCUGAGUGGCUAAGCGAAAGUGAUAGUAUCCACCUGGGGAGUACGGGCGCAAGCCGUUGAACGUAAAGUUAGAGUAGAGGCGNGNGAGNGCGAGACGACACGAGGAGAGG
RNAcentral lists this ribosomal RNA (607 nucleotides) under uncultured bacterium. RNAcentral describes it as "bacterial SSU rRNA". It matches the Rfam family "Bacterial small subunit ribosomal RNA", at positions 338 to 961 of the family's 1533-position model. The record is from RNAcentral.